This 426-nucleotide ribosomal RNA is filed under the name uncultured bacterium. RNAcentral describes it as "bacterial SSU rRNA". It matches the Rfam family "Bacterial small subunit ribosomal RNA", at positions 355 to 794 of the family's 1533-position model. The record is from RNAcentral.
UGAGGAAUAUUGGGGCAAUGGGCGCAAGCCUGACCCAGCAACGCCGCGUGAGGGAAGAAGGUUUUCGGAUUGUAAACCUCUGUCCUAUGUGACGAAGGAAGUGACGGUAGCAUAGGAGGAAGCCCCGGCUAACUACGUGCCAGCAGCCGCGGUAAUACGUAGGGGGCGAGCGUUGUCCGGAAUGAUUGGGCGUAAAGGGCGCGUAGGCGGCCCGUUAAGUCUGGAGUGAAAGUCCUGCUUUCAAGGUGGGAAUUGCUUUGGAUACUGUCGGGCUGGAGUGCAGGAGAGGAAAGCGGAAUUACCGGUGUAGCGGUGAAAUGCGUAGAGAUCGGUAGGAACACCAGUGGCGAAGGCGGCUUUCUGGACUGAAACUGACGCUGAGGCGCGAAAGCGUGGGGAGCAAACAGGAUUAGAUACCCUGGUAGU